RNAcentral lists this ribosomal RNA (1402 nucleotides) under uncultured bacterium. RNAcentral's name for it is "16S ribosomal RNA". It matches the Rfam family "Bacterial small subunit ribosomal RNA". The record is from RNAcentral.
AGAGUUUGAUCCUGGCUCAGGAUGAACGCUAGCGAUAGGCUUAACACAUGCAAGUCGAGGGGCAGCAUUAUCAAAGCUUGCUUUGAUAGAUGGCGACCGGCGCACGGGUGCGUAACACGUAUGCAACUUACCCAUAAAGCGAGGAUAACCCGGAGAAAUUCGGACUAAUACUCGAUAGUAUUAUUAAGAGGCAUCUUUUAAUAAUUAAAGAUUUAUCGAUUAUGGAUAGGCAUGCGCAUGAUUAGCUAGUUGGUGGGGUAACGGCUCACCAAGGCGACGAUCAUUAGGGGUUCUGAGAGGAAGGUCCCCCACACUGGUACUGAGACACGGACCAGACUCCUACGGGAGGCAGCAGUGAGGAAUAUUGGUCAAUGGACGAGAGUCUGAACCAGCCAAAUCGCGUGAAGGAAGACUGCCCUAAGGGUUGUAAACUUCUUUUGUGUGGGAAUAAAAGAUAGCACGUGUGCUAUAUUGUAUGUACCAUACGAAUAAGGAUCGGCUAACUCCGUGCCAGCAGCCGCGGUAAUACGGAGGAUCCGAGCGUUAUCCGGAUUUAUUGGGUUUAAAGGGUGCGUAGGCGGGAGAUCAAGUCAGUGGUGAAAUGGUGUGGCUCAACCAUAGCAUUGCCGUUGAAACUGGUUUUCUUGAGUGUAAAUGAGGUAAGCGGAAUGUGUUGUGUAGCGGUGAAAUGCAUAGAUAUGACACAGAACACCAAUUGCGAAGGCAGCUUACUGGGAUACAACUGACGCUGAGGCACGAAAGCGUGGGGAUCAAACAGGAUUAGAUACCCUGGUAGUCCACGCAGUAAACGAUGAUUACUAGCUGUUUUCGAAAUAAUGUAAGGUGGGCUAAGGGAAACCCGAUAAGUAAUCCACCUGGGGAGUACGUUCGCAAGAAUGAAACUCAAAAGGAAUUGACGGGGGCCCGCACAAGCGGAGGAACAUGUGGUUUAAUUCGAUGAUACGCGAGGAACCUUACCCGGGCUUGAAAUGCAGAAGACGAAUCAGGAAACUGAUUUUCCAGCAAUGGCUUCUGUGUAGGUGCUGCAUGGUUGUCGUCAGCUCGUGCCGUGAGGUGUCGGCUUAAGUGCCAUAACGAGCGCAACCCUUGCCAUUAGUUACUAACAGGUAAAGCUGAGGACUCUAAUGGGACUGCCACCGCAAGGUGUGAGGAAGGUGGGGAUGACGUCAAAUCAGCACGGCCCUUACGUCCGGGGCGACACACGUGUUACAAUGGGUGGGACAGAAAGUUGCUAAGUGGUGACACAGCGCUAAUCUCCAAACCCACUCUCAGUUCGGAUCGGAGUCUGCAACUCGACUCCGUGAAGCUGGAUUCGCUAGUAAUCGCGCAUCAGCCAUGGCGCGGUGAAUACGUUCCCGGGCCUUGCACUAAGCGCCCGUCA